CUAGCUACAGGCUUAACACAUGCAAGUCGAGGGGCAUCAGGAAGAAAGCUUGCUUUCUUUGCUGGCGACCGGCGCACGGGUGAGUAACACGUAUCCAACCUGCCCUUUACUCGGGGAUAGCCUUUCGAAAGAAAGAUUAAUACCCGAUAGCAUAAUGAUUCCGCAUGGUUUCAUUAUUAAAGGAUUCCGGUAAAGGAUGGGGAUGCGUUCCAUUAGGUUGUUGGUGAGGUAACGGCCCACCAAGCCUUCGAUGGAUAGGGGUUCUGAGAGGAAGGUCCCCCACAUUGGAACUGAGACACGGUCCAAACUCCUACGGGAGGCAGCAGUGAGGAAUAUUGGUCAAUGGGCGCUAGCCUGAACCAGCCAAGUAGCGUGAAGGAUGAAGGCUCUAUGGGUCGUAAACUUCUUUUAUAUAAGAAUAAAGUGCAGUAUGUAUACUGUUUUGUAUGUAUUAUAUGAAUAAGGAUCGGCUAACUCCGUGCCAGCAGCCGCGGUAAUACGGAGGAUCCGAGCGUUAUCCGGAUUUAUUGGGUUUAAAGGGAGCGUAGGUGGACUGGUAAGUCAGUUGUGAAAGUUUGCGGCUCAACCGUAAAAUUGCAGUUGAUACUGUCAGUCUUGAGUACAGUAGAGGUGGGCGGAAUUCGUGGUGUAGCGGUGAAAUGCUUAGAUAUCACGAAGAACUCCGAUUGCGAAGGCAGCUCACUGGACUGCAACUGACACUGAUGCUCGAAAGUGUGGGUAUCAAACAGGAUUAGAUACCCUGGUAGUCCACACAGUAAACGAUGAAUACUCGCUGUUUGCGAUAUACAGUAAGCGGCCAAGCGAAAGCAUUAAGUAUUCCACCUGGGGAGUACGCCGGCAACGGUGAAACUCAAAGGAAUUGACGGGGGCCCGCACAAGCGGAGGAACAUGUGGUUUAAUUCGAUGAUACGCGAGGAACCUUACCCGGGCUUAAAUUGCAGUGGAAUGAUGUGGAAACAUGUCAGUGAGCAAUCACCGCUGUGAAGGUGCUGCAUGGUUGUCGUCAGCUCGUGCCGUGAGGUGUCGGCUUAAGUGCCAUAACGAGCGCAACCCUUAUCUUUAGUUACUAACAGGUUAUGCUGAGGACUCUAGAGAGACUGCCGUCGUAAGAUGUGAGGAAGGUGGGGAUGACGUCAAAUCAGCACGGCCCUUACGUCCGGGGCUACACACGUGUUACAAUGGGGGGGUACAGAAGGCAGCUAGCGGGUGACCGUAUGCUAAUCCCAAAAACCUCUCUCAGUUCGGAUCGAAGUCUGCAACCCGACUUCGUGAAGCUGGAUUCGCUAGUAAUCGCGCAUCAGCCACGGCGCGGUGAAUACGUUCCCGGGCCUUGUACACACCGCCCGUCAAGCCAUGGGAGCCGGGGGUACCUGAAGUACGUAACCGCAAGGAUCGUCCUAGGGUAAAACUGGA
Molecule: ribosomal RNA, 1434 nt
Filed under: uncultured organism
Description: SSU rRNA
Rfam family: Bacterial small subunit ribosomal RNA
Source: RNAcentral